UGGGGAAUUUUGGACAAUGGGCGAAAGCCUGAUCCAGCAAUGCCGCGUGUGUGAAGAAGGCCUUCGGGUUGUAAAGCACUUUUGUCCGGAAAGAAAUCCUUGGCUCUAAUACAGUCGGGGGAUGACGGUACCGGAAGAAUAAGCACCGGCUAACUACGUGCCAGCAGCCGCGGUAAUACGUAGGGUGCAAGCGUUAAUCGGAAUUACUGGGCGUAAAGCGUGCGCAGGCGGUUUGCUAAGACCGAUGUGAAAUCCCCGGGCUCAACCUGGGAACUGCAUUGGUGACUGGCAGGCUAGAGUAUGGCAGAGGGGGGUAGAAUUCCACGUGUAGCAGUGAAAUGCGUAGAGAUGUGGAGGAAUACCGAUGGCGAAGGCAGCCCCCUGGGCCAGUACUGACGCUCAUGCACGAAAGCGUGGGGAGCAAACAGGAUUAGAUACCCUGGUAGUCCACGCCCUAAACGAUGUCAACUAGUUGUUGGGGAUUCAUUUCCUUAGUAACGUAGCUAACGCGUGAAGUUGACCGCCUGGGGGAGUACGGUCGCAAAGAUUAAAACUCAAAUGAAUUGACGGGGUCAUAGCUGUUUCCU
RNAcentral lists this ribosomal RNA (587 nucleotides) under uncultured bacterium. Its description in RNAcentral is "partial 16S ribosomal RNA". It matches the Rfam family "Bacterial small subunit ribosomal RNA", at positions 355 to 1375 of the family's 1533-position model. The record is from RNAcentral.